RNAcentral lists this ribosomal RNA (468 nucleotides) under uncultured bacterium. RNAcentral's name for it is "partial 16S ribosomal RNA". It matches the Rfam family "Bacterial small subunit ribosomal RNA", at positions 28 to 507 of the family's 1533-position model. The record is from RNAcentral.
GACGAACGCUGGCGGCGUGCUUAACACAUGCAAGUCGAACGGAAAGGCCCUGCUUUUGUGGGGUGCUCGAGUGGCGACCGGGUGAGUAACACGUGAGUAACCUGUCCUUGACUUUGGGAUAACUUAAGGAAACUGGGGCUAAUACCGGAUAGGAGCUCCUGCUGUAUGGUGGGGGUUGGAAAGUUUCGGCGGUUGGGGAUGGACUCGCGGCUUAUCAGCUUGUUGGUGGGGUAGUGGCUUACCAAGGCUUUGACGCGUAGCCGGCCUGAGAGGGUGACCUGCCACAUUGGGACGGAGAUGAGGCACAGACUCCAACGGGACGCAGCAGAGCAGAAGAGUGCAUAAUGGACGGAAGCCUGAUGCAGCAACGCCGCGUGCGGGAUGACGGCCUUCGGGUUGUAUACCGCUUUCGCCUGUGACGAAGCGUGAGUGACGGUAAUGGGUAAAGAAGCACCGGCUAACUACGUG